Molecule: ribosomal RNA, 497 nt
Filed under: uncultured bacterium
Lineage: Bacteria
Description: partial 16S ribosomal RNA
Rfam family: Bacterial small subunit ribosomal RNA
Source: RNAcentral
GAUGAACGCUGGCGGCGUGCCUAAUACAUGCAAGUCGAACGAACAGACGCGGAGCUUGCUCCUCGCACGUUAGCGGCGGACGGGUGAGUCACACGUGUAUAACCUACCUAUAAGACUGGGAUAACUACGGGACACCGGAGCUAAUACCGGAUAAUAUAUUGCACCGCAGGGUGCGAUAGUGAAAUUCGGUGUUUCUGUCACGUAUAGAUGGAUAUGCGCCGCAUUAGCUGGUUGGUACGGUCACGGCUUACCAAGGCUACCAUGCGUAUCCGACGGGACAGGGUGAUAGGCCGCACUGGAGCUGGGCCACGGACAAGACUCCUACGGGACGCAGCAGUAGGGAAUCGGACGCAGCGGGGGAGAGUCUGACGGAGCAGCGGCGAGUGAGUGAUGAAGGUGUUGGGAGCGUGAAAAUCUGUUAUGAGGGAUGAACAAAUGUGGAAGUAACUAUGGCGGGCUUGACGGUAACGAAUAAGAAAGCAACGGCUAACUACGUG